Molecule: ribosomal RNA, 400 nt
Filed under: phytoplankton environmental sample
Lineage: Eukaryota
Description: partial small subunit ribosomal RNA
Rfam family: Eukaryotic small subunit ribosomal RNA
Source: RNAcentral
AGCUCCAAUAGCGUAUAUUAAAGUUGUUGUGGUUAAAAAGCUCGUAGUUGGAUCUCAACGACCUUGGAGCGGUUGACUGAAUGUUCUACUGCUCUGUAGGUCGUGCUUUUGCUGGAGGUUUAGAGGUGCUCUUGAUCGAGUGUCUCUGAGCGCCAGCAGGUUUACUUUGAAAAAAUUAGAGUGCUCAAAGCAGGCUAUUCCGCCUGAAUAUUCGUGCAUGGAAUAAUAGAAUAGGAUGUCGAUCCUAUUUUGUUGGUUUUCGGGACUCGACAUAAUGAUUAAUAGGGACAGUCGGGGGCAUUUGUAUUCAAACGACAGAGGUGAAAUUCUUGGACCGUUUGAAGACAAACUACUGCGAAAGCAUUUGCCAAGAAUGUUUUCAUUAAUCAAGAACGAAAGU